GUUUCUGGUAAUCUGUAAAUACUCAGAAAAGAAGUAUAGGGAAGAAUGUGAGGCGUUUCAUGUCUCUCACACAGUUCAAGAAAGAAUAAAUUUCACACACUUAUUAAACAUAUAUUAAGAGGCAAGGAUAUUUUGUAAUUUCUCUGUAUGUAUAGAAUUGCUUAAUAUUCUUUGUGAUAGAUUGAUUUCGCUGAUGGCUCUAAUUCUUCGCCCAGCCCUGCAUUCUAAACCUUCUGUAUCACUCGGUUGACUCUGCAGUUUCUGCCGUCGAGAGGAUGAUUGGGUGACUUGUCUCCACUCCACAUGUCUCUCAUUUCUCAUCAGAUAUUCAGGGAUGCCUUAGCCUAGGAAGCCUAGAAAUCUUGAUAGCCAGCUGAUCCACUCCAACAUACAAGGAGUACAUCCAAGAUCAACAAAACCAUCUGACAGCCAUUCUAGAUGUUUCCAAUUUUUCCUGAUUGACAUCACCAAGAACUAAAAUCCAACUGGGACUGGAGGUUGCCUUACAGGUGGCCUUUUCUGCAAGGAUUUGAGGAAGCCCUGGAAGCUAAAGCCCAACUAUUUGAGAUCAGCUUUGAAGGACCCAUCACCAGCAGACCAGUUUUUAAAUCUUCACACAAGUAUGAAGAAUCCGUGGAAAGUUCAAGCAUAAGGUCUUCCUCUUCAUCAUAAAUGACCAGAGUGCCGCCAUGAAAUGCACAGACUACAGCAUCAAAAUCACAUGGGAGGUAAUUUUAAAAAAUACAUCCUUGAAUCUCACCCUAAACUUAUUAAAUGAGAAACUCGAGAGCC
Molecule: long non-coding RNA, 792 nt
Filed under: Ursus maritimus (polar bear)
Lineage: Eukaryota; Metazoa; Chordata; Mammalia; Carnivora; Ursidae
Description: lncRNA (ENSUMAG00000014487.1)
Source: RNAcentral